This 477-nucleotide ribosomal RNA is filed under the name Lycomorphodes sordida. RNAcentral's name for it is "partial 28S ribosomal RNA". It matches the Rfam family "Eukaryotic large subunit ribosomal RNA", at positions 594 to 849 of the family's 3401-position model. Lineage: Eukaryota; Metazoa; Arthropoda; Insecta; Lepidoptera; Erebidae. The record is from RNAcentral.
CGGGAUCNUUNUGGGACCGCGANNNCGGUGGCCGACCGGCCGUCGGACGGUAGUUCUGACGAAACGCGCACGCGUUUACANACGCGUCCGGCCCGACGCAAGUNCAACGUCGUAUNCUUGCGUACNCGCCAAAGCGCGGACGCNAAGUGCGGCGCGUCUGUNUGUUGCANGCCGUGNCAGUCUCGGACUGUGCGCGUCUCUGUCUGCGAUGAUUCAGUUUCGGGCACUCGCAGGACCCGUCUUGAAACACGGACCAAGGAGUCUAGCAUGUAUGCGAGUCAUUGAGAUAANNUAAAACUGAAAGGCGUAACGAAAGUGAAGGCGCGCGCUUGCCGUGCGCUCAGGGAGGAUGGAGCUUCGAUCUAGGUCGAUCUCUCGCACUCCCGAGGCGUCUCGUUUCCAAUCCGUGAAUGUAGGCGCGCUCUGAGCAUAAAUGCUGGGACCCGAAAGAUGGUGAACUAUGCCUGGUCAGCUUUA